UAGCCGCCUCUGAACACUCCCCUUCUAUAAAACACUCUCUAACACUCGAAACCCUAGCCGCCUCUGUCGUCUUCUCCGACCAGUUCUCGCCGGAGUCUAUGGCUUCUCAAGCAAUGGACGGCCUGUGCUCACUUCCCUUCACCCCAAAUCAUUGCUGCUCAAGGAUUUAGAGGUUCAACCUCAACGAGACCUAUUCAGAUCCUCUGCCGAUUUGUGUUCCUGUGGCUUCCCUGGCUCUGUUCCGAUGUGUUCGAGCUAUAAAAGGCUUAGCUAUGGUUCAGACUUGUUCGAGACCAGAUUCUUUCUAGUCCAUCUCAUUGCUAAGGUUUCUGAGAAACCCUAAAAGCUUGUUCGAGGUUCCUUCUUCCUUUAUUUUUUUAGAUAUGUGAUAGAUCUGUGUUAUACUCAAAGUUUUAAAGCUUUUCCCUAAUUUUAUUUCCAUAUCUAAUCUGUUUAAAUUUAGGGUUUUCAAAAAUCUUGAAACGAUUUCUAUUUCUUCUUUUACUUCUUUCUUUAUGUGAAUCUGUCUGUUUAUGCCAUAUUUUAUGAGUUUUCGCUUAUGUUUUGUAUCCUUCACUAGCAUGUCUUCUCCUAUUUGUCGUUAUUACGCAUGUGCUUCUAUUUGUGCUAUGUUGCUUCUUCUACUGGUUUCUACAACAUGAUUUUUUCAUAUCUAUCUUAUGUGUUCGUUCACUAUUUUCCUACUGAGUUUUGUUUGCCUUUAUUGGACCUCUUUUUGUGUCCUAAACCUGUUUUGUCUGCGGUUGCUUAAAGAUCUAUGUCACCUCUUUUAUCUCCUAAACUCGCUUGAGUUAUGUCCUUUUCUGAUACAUGCUUUGUGAUAUUUUCACUCUCUUGCUUCAAAUUUGACAUUAUGUCUAUGUGCUUUCUCAUGAGACUCUCUGAGUCUGUUUUGAUGGCUUGCCCUCUCCUUUUUGUACCCUACUCGAAUAUGAAAACCUAGGGUUUGGGGUUUCUGCGAGUUUGGGUCUUUGUGCCUGGACUAGGGUUCUACUUUAGACCCUUGACUGAACUGGAAUCUUUUUGCUUAUGAUUUGAAACUUUCUAUGCCAGUCUUUUCUUUUUUGUUUCACACUUGUGUGCUUUAUAUAUGAAGAUUUUCUUUCAAAAUGAUCUUUCCAACUUGUUAUUUAUUCUGAAUUUCUUUUACUAAGGCUCGAUUGAUCUGUUACUGAUUUUCCCAACUGAACUUUUCCUCACCUUUUUUCUGACUAAGUUCAUUCGAACAAAGCUUUGAACUUACUGGCUGUUUAAUUGAUCUACUUUCCUUAUUUCUUACAAAUUAUGCACCAUAGGAAUCAUGCCUUAAAUAAUCUCUAUGUAUUCACCUGUGUUAUGUUACAUUGGAAAGGUUUUUAAUUAUUCUUCUUUCCUUAAUUGUCCCAUGGCCGUUUAAAAUCAAAUCCUAUAACCUUAUGGAGACCUUCUGUGAUUGAUUGUAAACUAUUUUCUUGCCUUUUGGUUACUCGUUUUUCUGCACUAUAAAAAGGGGACUACCCUUUUGCUCUUAGACACAACUUUUCCACACUACAGACCUCACAAAUACUUUUCACAAUUGAACACUACACAAUUGCAAUACUUUCUCUACUACUACUUUCUCUACUCCUAAUACUGAGCACUCUGUUCCUUUUCUCUUUUACUGUAUGAAACAUUCUUGAGUUCCUUUUGAACUCUCAAGUAUUUGCUGAAGAACUUGAGUUUGCUCCUGCUGACUUCCGGCUGUUUAUUUACUCUUAUUGUUCUGCUACUCUAGUGCUUGCAAGUGGUAUGAUAUUCUUGGUUAAAUAAUGCCCUCUCCUCUAUGUGUUUAUUUUCUGUCUUAGCCUGUUAUGCUUGCUUGCCCUGUGUAUCUACAUCCAAGUCUUUUAUGCCUUUUUUUUUAAUUAUGUUUCUGCAACUCUGUGCAUUCAUGUCUUAUGUGAAUCCUGAUCCAUUUACCCUUUUUGUAUGAAGAGUAUAGUUCUACUUAUGGAAAUAUCCUAUUGUUGCUAUCCAUGACUUUGAACUGGGUUCUUUUGAACCGUUACUGGCAAGCGCUAUAGUAG
RNAcentral lists this long non-coding RNA (2066 nucleotides) under Nicotiana benthamiana. RNAcentral's name for it is "long non-coding RNA (NBEN_LNC022786)". The record is from RNAcentral. Lineage: Eukaryota; Viridiplantae; Streptophyta; Magnoliopsida; Solanales; Solanaceae.